CUCUCUCAGAACAUAUGGACUGGAAAACCUAGUAAACAUUCAAGAGAUCAGGUAGCUAGAGCACCAGAGCUCAAAGUUCUCCCUACAUGAAUCAGCACAGGUGGCCCUUGGAAUAACCCUUUGAAACAUUUGAGAAACAUUCAGCAGAACAGCAGAAGGUCUGGUGGCAGCCUUCAUCUGCACCGCAGGGGGUCCCCCUCUAAAGACAGCUCCAGGACAUGGUCUCCCUCAGAAAAAUUCAUUGGGUAA
This is a long non-coding RNA of Sarcophilus harrisii (Tasmanian devil), 249 nucleotides long. RefSeq lists it as uncharacterized. The record is from RefSeq and is a predicted model, not a curated record. NCBI's taxonomy places the organism in Eukaryota, Metazoa, Chordata, Mammalia, Dasyuromorphia, Dasyuridae. The transcript has 4 exons.